RNAcentral lists this ribosomal RNA (301 nucleotides) under uncultured bacterium. RNAcentral's name for it is "partial 16S ribosomal RNA". It matches the Rfam family "Bacterial small subunit ribosomal RNA", at positions 509 to 807 of the family's 1533-position model. The record is from RNAcentral.
CAGCAGCCGCGGUAAUACGAAGGGUGCAAGCGUUAAUCGGAAUUACUGGGCGUAAGGCGUGCGUAGGCGGUGAGUUAAGUCUGCUGUGAAAUCCCCGGGCUCAACCUGGGAAUGGCAGUGGAUACUGGCUCGCUAGAGUGUGUCAGAGGAUGGUGGAAUUCCCGGUGCAGCGGUGAAAUGCGUAGAGAUCGGGAGGAACAUCAGUGGCGAAGGCGGCCAUCUGGGACAACACUGACGCUGAGGCACGAAAGCGUGGGGAGCAAACAGGAUUAGAUACCCCCGUAGUCCCUGUCUCUUAUAC